Molecule: ribosomal RNA, 300 nt
Filed under: uncultured Psychromonadaceae bacterium
Lineage: Bacteria; Pseudomonadati; Pseudomonadota; Gammaproteobacteria; Alteromonadales; Psychromonadaceae
Description: bacterial SSU rRNA
Rfam family: Bacterial small subunit ribosomal RNA
Source: RNAcentral
UGCUUGGGGAUCUGCCUGAUAGAGGGGGACGAACAGUUGGAACGACUGCUAAUACCGCAUAAUCUCUACGGAGCAAAGGGGCCGUCUACUUGUAAGCUCUCGCUAUCAGAUGAACCCAAGUGAGAUUAGCUAGUUGGUGAGGUAAAGGCUCACCAAGGCGACGAUCUCUAGCUGGUUUGAGAGGAUGAUCAGCCACACUGGGACUGAGACACGGCCCAGACUCCUACGGGAGGCAGCAGUGGGGAAUAUUGCACAAUGGGCGCAAGCCUGAUGCAGCCAUACCGCGUGUGUGAAGAAGGC